This 851-nucleotide ribosomal RNA is filed under the name Otidea sp. Its description in RNAcentral is "eukaryotic LSU rRNA". The stretch from base 529 to 687 matches the Rfam family "5.8S ribosomal RNA". Lineage: Eukaryota; Fungi; Ascomycota; Pezizomycetes; Pezizales; Pyronemataceae. The record is from RNAcentral.
CCUGUACUAUGCUUUAUUGAAGCUUAGAUUACAAUUCAAACCCCCCUCUGUGUACUUUUCCUGUUGCUUCCGUGGGGUCACGGAGCUGUCCAGCGUAUGAUGUAGCCAUAACCUCUUCGCAAGUUGUUGGUUGGGGUUUUCCGUCGAGACACUCCUAGCUGAUCAUCGCCGCAGUGAGUUUGGGCUGCCUCCUCAGUGGGUAUUAUGGUUGCUCUACUAAAUUACUUAGUUUUGGUUUAUACAGGCUUAGUCCGGGGUAAAUAGUAACCACGGAAAGUGUUGGUUGGAGAUUGAAUUCAUCAUAGGAAAACCACACACAAAGUGACGGUUGGAGAUUGUAUUCAUCUUACGAAAACCACCUGGAUGUUGGUUCGAAUUUACCUACCUAGUUAUUCUAAGAGUUCGUUGGAGUGUAUCUUUGCUCUGGGCGGUACUAGGCUUAUCUAGCGUUCAUGCCAGCACCCAUGAAUAGAAAUUAUUUCAAAUUGUUUUGUCUUUUGUCUGAAUUAUAUAAAUAACAAUUGUUAAAACUUUCAACAACGGAUCUCUUGGUUCCAGCAUCGAUGAAGAACGCAGCGAAAUGCGAAAAGUAAUGUGAAUUGCAGAAUUCAGUGAAUCAUCGAAUCUUUGAACGCACAUUGCGUGUCGGCGGUAAUUAAUCCGUAACACAUGCUUUUAUGAGCGUCAUGAAACCCCGUUCAAGCUCUUUUGCUUGGUUGUGAAGCUUGAGCGAUGCCUGCGUGCUUGUUCACCUUUGAAAUUUAUCGGCGUAUGUCUUUGCGUUCCAUUUCGCGUUAUAGGUUAACUCUUUCGCUUGGAUUACCAAAGCUGUGCUGCUGUGAUCACCUCAA